This 253-nucleotide ribosomal RNA is filed under the name uncultured bacterium. Its description in RNAcentral is "partial 16S ribosomal RNA". It matches the Rfam family "Bacterial small subunit ribosomal RNA", at positions 524 to 776 of the family's 1533-position model. The record is from RNAcentral.
UACAGAGGGUGCAAGCGUUGUCCGGAAUCACUGGGCGUAAAGGGCGCGUAGGCGGCCUGAUAAGUAGGGGGUGAAAUCUUGCGGCUUAACCGCAAGGCUGCCUUCUAAACUGUCAGGCUAGAGCACAGUAGAGGCAGGUGGAAUUCCCGGUGUAGCGGUGGAAUGCGUAGAGAUCGGGAAGAACAUCAGUGGCGAAAGCGACUUCCUGGACCAAUACUGACGCUCAUGUGCGAAAGCGUGGGGAGCAAACAGG